CUAAAAGUGAAUGUUACAAGUAUCACCCGGUGAAUAAAAGGUAUCGACCAAUUACACGGCCACCAACGUCGAUCAAGAACAGAUAGAUCUAAAAGCCACUCGUCGGUCCUCUGCCAGUGCAAAUCUAUUCAAACGGUCGCACAUUUCCAUUGCUGCAUGUAUGAAUAUUCCUGAAGAUAUAAUUUAGCUUCAAUCAACGCCCACAUUCUCAGUCUUGUCACCGCCAAAUCUGCACACAUUGCUGCUGGUCCUCCUCCCGGUCCACACCUUGGACCUCGCCAUGAGACAAGAGGACUGAGACGUUCUGUCGGCCUCUCCUGCGAUCCGUCCCGCGGAAAGCUGCAGAGUUUACUGUUCAAACGCAGUACAUGAGUGCACGGAGGGGGAAAGGCGGUUCCUACUCUCGGUCGCUUGGACACUCAGCUGGCCCGGGACUUUUCCACCCCGCUGGACGCAAAGAUCACCCGGAGGCGACUAACCCAUUCUCCCAGAUGCGCAGCUGACUCGUCGAAGGAGGUUACCGGGGAGAAAUGACAAAGCCGUGUGUGAUGCACCGCCGAACUGAGCUGCAUCUUACAGCCCUCCUCCCCACCGGGCCUACGCCUGCGAAUUUAUACAUAUUUCAACCAUUUAUAAUGCAAAAACCUGUUCAUGCCAAAUGAAGGCAUCAUAAUGCCUUAAUAGCCAGUGAGCUUUACCCUGCUGCUUCCGCAUAAUCUGUUCAAUUUUGACAAGCUGUGAAAUUAAAUUUUUGUGUGACUUUAUUAUCAUUGUGGCCACUAGAGCCGUAAUAUUCCCGUCUAUUCGAUUCUGUAGCUCGGCGUUCCUCAUCAGACAACACUUGUUUAGACGGUUGCGCCCCCGAACUCACACACACACAGCAACACGUCAAUGGCGUCCACUAUCAAAAGCAUUUCAAUUGAUGGAAAUCUUAAAAUGUGGGGCAGGAGAGAGAAGUUACAACGACUGAACACAUGUAUUUAGUUAAAUACAUUUUCUUGUGAAUAUAUG
This is a long non-coding RNA of Gasterosteus aculeatus aculeatus (three-spined stickleback), 1011 nucleotides long. The record is from Ensembl. Lineage: Eukaryota; Metazoa; Chordata; Actinopteri; Perciformes; Gasterosteidae.